GUAAGCAAAGACCCUGCUCUUGUGGAAUUUACAUUCCUGCAGAGGGAGGUAGACAGUAAACAAUAUUUAUUUUAUUUAUAUUUUAUUUAUUAGGUAAACUACACAGUAUGCUAGAGCAGAAUGGAGAGUGCAGGUAAGUGGGUGGGUGGAGGCUGGUUGCCAAAUAGGGGGAUACAUGUUUAGAGGAUUCGAAGGAGCUGAGGAAGGUAGCUAAGUGCACAUCAAGGAAGAAGGUCCCAGACAGAAAAUAGCUGGAUCUGAGGCUCCAAGACAGGAAUGAGCUUGGUAUGUCGGGGAAGAGCAAGGACUCCAGAGUGACAGCAGUGGAAUGAGAGGCAGUUGUAGCAGAGAAGGUGGGGUGGGGGGCACUGGGGAAUAGGGAACUAUUCCAGAUUACUUUGUUAUUCUGGAAUACCUUAUUUUGUCAUGCCCAGGUUUGUCAAUUUGAGAAGUAUGCGGACAUUUUAUUAUUCUAGGGAGGAAUAGUCAUCCCAAUUUUACCGUUUUUUUCUUUUCCAUUAGAGUUUAUUAUUUCAUUUUAUAUUGUAUUUUAUAAAUUUUAUUGAAUUAUAGAUGACUUACAAUGUGACAAUUUCUGCUGUACAGCAGUGACUCAGCUGUACACAUAAACAUAUCCAUCUUAUUUUUCCAGAUUCUUCUCCCAUAUAGACAAUCACAGAAUGCUGAGCAGACUUCCCUGUGCCAUACAGAGGUUUCCAUUAACUAUAGCUAAUUAUUUUAUACAUACCAUUUUAAAAGGGUGAAGGCUCUGCCAGCACCUUUAUCAGUAAACGGUGGUAGCAUGCAUUCAAUCUGGUGUGCAGGGUACAUGCAAAACUGCAACUGCACCAGAUUCCCUUGGGACUUUAUUAUUUUAAUUGUUUAGUUAUUCAUUUUUUGCUUUUUAGGGCCACACCUGCAGCAUAUGGAAGUUCCCUGUCGAGGGGUUGAACUGGAGCUACUACAGCUGGCCUACACCACAGCCACAGCCACACGGGAUCUGAGCCAUGUCUUCGACCUAUAUACCCCACGGCAACGCCAGAUCCUUAAUGCACUCAGUGAGGCUAGGGAUUGAACCUGCAUACUCAUGGAUGCUAGUCAGUCUCGUUACUGCUGAGCCACAACAGGAACUUCCAUCCUUUGGGGCUUUUAAAUCUUGGUUAAAGACUUGCAGUAAUAACUGAAAUUAAACGGAAUCUUGUUCACCUUUACUCACUUUCAGGUUCCCUUAAAUGGUGCAUAAUUACUCUCACCUUCAGGGACCUGCAAGCUCAGGAUUAAUAACUUGUGUGGCUUUGACUCAUUUUUUUUUUUUUUUUUUUUUUUUUUUUUUUUUGUCUUUUUGCUAUUUUUUGGGGCGACUCCCAUGGCUUAUGGAGGUUCCCAGGCUAGGGGGCGAAUCUGAGCUACAGCCGCUGGCCUACACCACAGCCACAGCAACUUGGGAUCCGAGCCACGUCUGCAACCUACACCGCAGUUCAUGGCAACUCAGGAUCCUCAACCCACUGAGUGAGGCCAGGGAUCAAACCCUAGUCAGGUUCAUUAACUGCUAAGCCACAAAGGAAUUCCCACUUCCCUCAUCUUUAAAGAGAAGGUUGUGGGAAUUCUCAAGUGGUUCAGUGGGUUAAGGAUCUGGUGGUGUAACUGCUGUGGCUCAGGUCCCAUCUCCCUUAGACCAGGACCUUUUUGGCACUGCUUAAAAAAAAAAGAGGGAGAGAGAAAAUUGUGAUGGUGCCUACAUGAUUGCGAGGUUAUGUCCAAAUCAAUUAAUCCAUAUAAAUCAGCUUAGAAUGGUGCCUGACAUACAGGAUAUGUGCUCAGGUAGGAUAUGUUAUGCAGAUUCAAAAUUCAGCUUAUUAAGCCUUAGCAAAUUAAAUGCCUCUUCUGUCUAGAAAUGCACAGGCUUUAUACUACUCGGGAAGUCAAAACUUAGAUCAAUACCAUCACUCUUAUAAGUUCUCAUAAAAUAUGAACAUUUUCACCCUCAAAUUUCUUUCCCCCAAAUUAGUCAAGGUGAUGGUUUCUAACCAUACUCUGUAAGAGACCUAGUUAAGUUAAAAUAGGGUCUAAGCUCAUUAGAACUGUUUUGAAAAGAAGAUUUUGAAUUAUUACUUCUACAGGGUAUAUUUGAUGCGUUUUUCCAUUUAACUCAUAUUUUGGUUUUAUAAUUUAAUUCACAUGGUUUAAUAAUCAUAAUUAUGAGUGAUAUAUAUGUUUAAUUAGGGUUCUGAUUCCAAGACUUAAAACUAUUAUGAUUCAUUUUACUCAUAAUAUAAUUUAAUUAAUUAAUUAGUUUAUUUUUAGGGCUGCACCUGAGGCAUAGGGAAGUUUCCAGGCUAGGGGUCGAAUCGGAGAUACAGCUGCUUGCUGGUCUAUGCCACAGCUACAGCAACAUCAGAUCCGAGCCAUGUCUGUGACCUACACCACAGCACAGCAACUCAGCCUAACCCACUGAGUGAGGCCAGGAAUUGAGCCAGCAUCCUCAUGAAUACUAGUCGGGUUCUUAACCCACUGAGCCACAGUGGGAACUCCUGUAAUUUUAAACUAAAAUAUUUAAAGCUUCCAGUUUAAUUUCAGAUGAAUUAAAAACUAAAGAAUAACCACUGCCUCUCCCAGGAUAUGAAAGCUUCCUUCCUUUCUUCCCUCCAGCCACCCCUCCUCAAAAACCAGCCUUCUUGGAGUUCCUGUCAUGGCUCAGUGGUUAACAAAUCCAACUAGGAAUCAUGAGGUUGUGGGUUCGAUCCCUGGCCUUGCUCAGUGGGUUAAGGAUGUGGCGUUACUGUGAGCUAUGGUGUAGACCAGCGGCUACAACUCCAAUUAGACCCCUAGCCUGGGAACCUCCAUAUGCCAUGGGUGCGGCCCUA
RNAcentral lists this long non-coding RNA (2864 nucleotides) under Sus scrofa (pig). Its description in RNAcentral is "lncRNA (ENSSSCG00055022518.1)". The record is from RNAcentral. Lineage: Eukaryota; Metazoa; Chordata; Mammalia; Artiodactyla; Suidae.